RNAcentral lists this ribosomal RNA (883 nucleotides) under uncultured archaeon. RNAcentral's name for it is "bacterial SSU rRNA". The stretch from base 1 to 702 matches the Rfam family "Archaeal small subunit ribosomal RNA", at positions 124 to 828 of the family's 1478-position model. The record is from RNAcentral.
GAUAACCUCCUGGAAACUGGGGAUAAUACCUUAUAGAUUACAGAUGCUGGAAUGCCCUGUAAUCGAAAGCUCCGGCGCCUUAGGAUGGAUCUGCGGCUGAUUAGGUUGUUGUUGGGGUAAUGGCCCAACAAGCCAGUGAUCGGUACGGGUUGUGGGAGCAAGAGCCCGGAGUUGGAUUCUGAGACACGAAUCCAGGCCCUACGGGGCGCAGCAGGCGCGAAAACUUUACAAUGCGGGCAACCGUGAUAAGGGAACCUCGAGUGCCUGUAUAUGCAGGCUGUCCAGGUGUCUAAAUCACACCUGAAGAAAGGGCCGGGCAAGACCGGUGCCAGCCGCCGCGGUUAUACCGGCGGCUCGAGUGGUGGUCGCUUUUAUUGGGCUUAAAGCGUUCGUAGCUGCGCUUGUUAGUCUCUUCGCCACUCUGACCGCUUUACCGUCAGGCGUCUAAAGGAUACUGGCAAUCUUGGAACCUGGAAAGGUUACGGGUACCUCCCGGGGAGGAGUGAAAUCCUGGAAUCCUCCAAGGACACCUUUGUGGGGAGGGGCCUCACCCGAAACGCUUCCACAGUGUGCGCACCAAAUUUUGGGCAGACAACCGGAAUACAUAUACCGGGAGAGCCCCCCCCCAAACAAUGCGCCCCUUGGGUAUAACAGUGUACUCCCUCCCUCCCGAGGAGGCAAAGGAAAAACUGCAAAGCUUCCCAUGUUGAAUAUACUCUCACAAGCCUAAAUUUUAAAGGUAGUUGGUUGUAGCAGCACAAAAGAGGAGCCUGCCUGCUUAUUUUUUUGACCCAAAAGAAGAUAUACCUCCCAUGAAACACACUUGUUAUUGCCGCGCGGGGCAGAACAGCUUUGCGAGAUUAUUUGUUGAUGGAGGUGUGAU